CAAGUCGAGCGAGAUUUUUUCCUGUAGCAAUACAGGGAAAAGUCUAGCGGCGAACGGGUGCUUAACACGUGGGCAACCUGCCGAGAAGUGGGGGAUAGCUCGCCGAAAGGCGAAUUAAUACCGCAUGUGAUCAGAAUGGACAUCCAUUCAAAAUCAAAGUCGGGGCAACCUGACGCUUUUUGAGGGGCCCGCGGCCUAUCAGCUAGUUGGUGAGGUAACGGCCCACCAAGGCAGUGACGGGUAGCUGGUCUGAGAGGACGACCAGCCACACUGGGACUGAGACACGGCCCAGACACCUACGGGUGGCAGCAGUCGAGAAUUUUUCUCAAUGGGGGAAACCCUGAAGGAGCGACGCCGCGUGGAGGAUGAAGGUCUUCGGAUUGUAAACUCCUGUCAUUGGGGAACAAUGCGCAAAUAUUAACUGUAUUUGCGUUGAUAGUACCCGAAGAGGAAGAGACGGCUAACUCUGUGCCAGCAGCCGCGGUAAUACAGAGGUCUCAAGCGUUGUUCGGAUUCAUUGGGCGUAAAGGGUGCGUAGGCGGCGCGGUAAGUCGGAUGUGAAAUCUCGGAGCUUAACUCCGAAACUGCAUUCGAUACUGCCGUGCUCGAGGACUGGAGAGGAGACUGGAAUUUACGGUGUAGCGGUGAAAUGCGUAGAUAUCGUAAGGAAGACCAGUGGCGAAGGCGGGUCUCUGGACAGUUCCUGACGCUGAGGCACGAAGGCCAGGGGAGCAAACGGGAUUAGAUACCCCGGUAGUCCUGGCAGUAAACGGUGCACGUUUGGUGUGGGAGGAUUCGACCCCUUCUGCGCCGGAGCUAACGCGUUAAACGUGCCGCCUGGGGGAGUACGGUCGCAAGAUUAAAACUCAAAGAAAUUGACGGGGGCCCGCACAAGCGGUGGA
RNAcentral lists this ribosomal RNA (902 nucleotides) under uncultured Verrucomicrobiae bacterium. RNAcentral's name for it is "bacterial SSU rRNA". It matches the Rfam family "Bacterial small subunit ribosomal RNA", at positions 58 to 936 of the family's 1533-position model. Lineage: Bacteria; Pseudomonadati; Verrucomicrobiota; Verrucomicrobiia. The record is from RNAcentral.